UUGAUCCUGGGCUCAGGAUGAACGCCGGCGGUGUGCCUAAUACAUGCAAGUCGUACGCACUGGCCCAACUGAUUGAUGGUGCUUGCACCUGAUUGACGAUGGAUUACCAGUGAGUGGCGGACGGGUGAGUAACACGUAGGUAACCUGCCCCGGAGCGGGGGAUAACAUUUGGAAACAGAUGCUAAUACCGCAUAACAACAAAAGCCACAUGGCUUUUGUUUGAAAGAUGGCUUUGGCUAUCACUCUGGGAUGGACCUGCGGUGCAUUAGCUAGUUGGUAAGGUAACGGCUUACCAAGGCGAUGAUGCAUAGCCGAGUUGAGAGACUGAUCGGCCACAAUGGAACUGAGACACGGUCCAUACUCCUACGGGAGGCAGCAGUAGGGAAUCUUCCACAAUGGGCGCAAGCCUGAUGGAGCAACACCGCGUGAGUGAAGAAGGGUUUCGGCUCGUAAAGCUCUGUUGUUGGAGAAGAACGUGCGUGAGAGUAACUGUUCACGCAGUGACGGUAUCCAACCAGAAAGUCACGGCUAACUACGUGCCAGCAGCCGCGGUAAUACGUAGGUGGCAAGCGUUAUCCGGAUUUAUUGGGCGUAAAGCGAGCGCAGGCGGUUGCUUAGGUCUGAUGUGAAAGCCUUCGGCUUAACCGAAGAAGUGCAUCGGAAACCGGGCGACUUGAGUGCAGAAGAGGACAGUGGAACUCCAUGUGUAGCGGUGGAAUGCGUAGAUAUAUGGAAGAACACCAGUGGCGAAGGCGGCUGUCUGGUCUGCAACUGACGCUGAGGCUCGAAAGCAUGGGUAGCGAACAGGAUUAGAUACCCUGGUAGUCCAUGCCGUAAACGAUGAGUGCUAGGUGUUGGAGGGUUUCCGCCCUUCAGUGCCGGAGCUAACACAUUAAGCACUCCGCCUGGGGAGUACGACCGCAAGGUUGAAACUCAAAGGAAUUGACGGGGGCCCGCACAAGCGGUGGAGCAUGUGGUUUAAUUCGAAGCUACGCGAAGAACCUUACCAGGUCUUGACAUCUUGCGCUAACCUUAGAGAUAAGGCGUUCCCUUCGGGGACGCAAUGACAGGUGGUGCGUGGUCGUCGUCAGCUCGUGUCGUGAGAUGUUGGGUUAAGUCCCGCAACGAGCGCAACCCUUGUUACUAGUUGCCAGCAUUAAGUUGGGCACUCUAGUGAGACUGCCGGUGACAAACCGGAGGAAGGUGGGGACGACGUCAGAUCAUCAUGCCCCUUAUGACCUGGGCUACACACGUGCUACAAUGGACGGUACAACGAGUCGCAAGCUCGCGAGAGUAAGCUAAUCUCUUAAAGCCGUUCUCAGUUCGGACUGUAGGCUGCAACUCGCCUACACGAAGUCGGAAUCGCUAGUAAUCGCGGAUCAGCAUGCCGCGGUGAAUACGUUCCCGGGCCUUGUACACACCGCCCGUCACACCAUGGGAGUUUGUAACGCCCAAAGUCGGUGGCCUAACCUUUAUGGAGGGAGCCGCCUAAGGCGGGACAGAUGACUGGGGU
RNAcentral lists this ribosomal RNA (1513 nucleotides) under uncultured bacterium. Its description in RNAcentral is "16S ribosomal RNA". It matches the Rfam family "Bacterial small subunit ribosomal RNA". The record is from RNAcentral.